AUGGCGCGCACCGGCACGGAGUGGGCGGCGCUGAGGUGGCCGGCGAGGUCCGGCGCCGCGCUGACGAAGGGGAGGGCGCAGAGCGGGCAGUGGAACACGCACAUGUCGAUCUUCACGGCGAGCUCCGCCCUGGGGCUGUGCUCCGCCACCGCAACGAUGGCGCCUGCUCCGGCCGCCGCGUCGUGCGCGACGAGCUCUUGCUUCACGGAGUGGGCGUCGGGCAGGUCCAGCCGCGCCUUCUUGGCGCUCUCGUCGGCCUGGUCCAUGGUCGACGGCGAGCCCCUGCUCCUGCCCUCGGCGGCGCCGGCGCCCUGCAUCCUGGCUCUUGCUCUUGGGGAAAGGAAAACCCUCUCUGGCCAAGCUUUACCUGUACGAGGCGCAAGAGCAAACGGGGCGAGGACAAGGAGCUCGGCCGGUACCGCACUGGAGAUUGAGAUGCUUGCUUCAUCAUUGACUAGUGCCGAAUUCCACCCGCGUCCCUCCACUUACCACUAUUCCACACACAGCCCCUAG
This 513-nucleotide ribosomal RNA is filed under the name Triticum aestivum (bread wheat). Its description in RNAcentral is "partial small subunit ribosomal RNA". Lineage: Eukaryota; Viridiplantae; Streptophyta; Magnoliopsida; Poales; Poaceae. The record is from RNAcentral.